GAUGAACGCUGGCGGCGUGCUUAACACAUGCAAGUCGAACGAGAAAUGAAGAUGGAAACCUUCGGGCGGAAGCCUUCAUUUCGAGUGGCGGACGGGUGAGUAACGCGUGGGUAACCUGCCUCAUACAGGGGGAUAACAGUUGGAAACGACUGUUAAUACCGCAUAAGACCACAGCAUCGCAUGGUGCGGGGGUAAAAACUCCGGUGGUAUGAGAUGGACCCGCGUUCGAUUAGCCAGUUGGCGGGGUAACGGCCCACCAAAGCGACGAUCGAUAGCCGAUCUGAGAGGAUGACCGGCCACAUUGGGACUGAGACACGGCCCAAACUCCUACGGGAGGCAGCAGUGGGGAAUAUUGCACAAUGGGGGAAACCCUGAUGCAGCGACGCCGCGUGAGUGAAGAAGUACUUCGGUAUGUAAAGCUCUAUCAGCAGGGAAGAAAAUGACGGUACCU
This 451-nucleotide ribosomal RNA is filed under the name Lachnospiraceae bacterium oral taxon 097. RNAcentral describes it as "bacterial SSU rRNA". It matches the Rfam family "Bacterial small subunit ribosomal RNA", at positions 28 to 480 of the family's 1533-position model. Lineage: Bacteria; Bacillati; Bacillota; Clostridia; Lachnospirales; Lachnospiraceae. The record is from RNAcentral.